Molecule: ribosomal RNA, 520 nt
Filed under: uncultured bacterium
Lineage: Bacteria
Description: bacterial SSU rRNA
Rfam family: Bacterial small subunit ribosomal RNA
Source: RNAcentral
GGGAACAUACCCUUUUCUACGGAAUAGCUCUGGGAAACUGGAAUUAAUACCGUAUACGCCCUACGGGGGAAAGAUUUAUCGGGGAAGGAUUGGCCCGCGUUGGAUUAGCUAGUUGGUGGGGUAAAGGCCUACCAAGGCGACGAUCCAUAGCUGGUCUGAGAGGAUGAUCAGCCACAUUGGGACUGAGACACGGCCCAAACUCCUACGGGAGGCAGCAGUGGGGAAUAUUGGACAAUGGGCGCAAGCCUGAUCCAGCCGUGCCGCGUGAGUGAUGAAGGCCUUAGGGUUGUAAAGCUCUUUCACCGAUGAAGAUAAUGACGGUAGUCGGAGAAGAAGCCCCGGCUAACUUCGUGCCAGCAGCCGCGGUAAUACGAAGGGGGCUAGCGUUGUUCGGAAUUACUGGGCGUAAAGCGCACGUAGGCGGAUAUUUAAGUCAGGGGUGAAAUCCCAGAGCUCAACUCUGGAACUGCCUUUGAUACUGGGUAUCUUGAGUAUGGAAGAGGUAAGUGGAAUUGCGAGU